GAAGCCAAAGGCCCACGGCCCACGGAAGAAAAGUCUCUCGUUCCUUCCCCCUCCGUCCCUCUUUCUCUCCCCCCUCCCCGUCUCCCACCUGUGUGCCAUAGGUCUCAGAUCUGCCUUUCUGUAGCAACCCUCAUAGAUCAAAAUGUACUAAGAUUGGGGACUAGGGCCAGCAUUUCUGAUUUUGUUUGUCACCACGAAGCCUGAGGUUUGAGGUUUAGUGUCUGAGGGAGCAACCAAGUGUCACUCCUCCGGGUCCCCAAGGUCUCUGGCCGCUGCCAGGGACAUUCUCCCUGGUGUGUGGGAUGGGCCUUAGCGAGGUGGUGUCCUAGCAUUUUCAUCACCCAUAAACUAAGCUCCUAACGGUUUAGAAGGAGUGUGGCCGCGCUGGCGACGUAGCUCAGCUGGUAGACUGCUCAACCUAGCAGGCAGGAAGCCCUGUUUUUGCCUGGGGACAGUGGUGGCCCAAACCUUUAAUCCCCCCCCCCCCCGUAACUCGGGAGGCAGAGGCAGGCGGAUCUUUGAGUUUGAGGCUAGCCUGGUCUACAGAGCGAGCUCUAAGACUGCCAGGGCUACACAAAGAAACCCCGUCUUGAAAAACAAAAUAAAAUAAAAGGAGAAUGCCCUCGAGUUAAGCUGGGGAUAUUGCUCCGUGUGAUUGUUGAGAAACUCGAGUGGAGUCUCUAAGAGAGUCGCGUGAUUCUCAGCUUUUGUUUGCUGCCAACUACAACCCGGGCUCUCCUAGGCCAAUUUCCCUCCCAGGCCUCCAGCAGGCCCUCUCCUGCUGGGCUAAGAGCUGUGACAAUUCUCCCAAAGCCUCAGACAAUUCUCUGACUCUGCCAGGCGCCUGGGACGGAGACAUUUGUUCCAGCUUCCUGUGACUUAACCCCCACACUUUGGGUCCCACACACCAAAUCUCUCCCGGUGUGUGGGCUGAGUCUCAAACCAGACGUGUUUCUUGGGUGCUUUUGGUUUUGCUCCCGUUCCCUCCCUCCCUCUCUUUCCCUCCGACCCUUCAGUUGCUCCCUUCCUUUGCUGGAACCAGAGGAACCAAGGCGACCUCUAUGCGUUGCCAGGAGCGGGGAGCAUUUCAAGGCCUUGCUGGCUGGAGCUGGAAGCACCAAAGAAUGAAUUUAUUUCUUGCUCCUUGGAGGAUCCUGAGACUGAAGCCCAUCUGUGAACUAGCAGAAAUGAAACUGUAGUCUGAGUUCGACCGUACGGAGGAAUUGGGACUCGAAUUCCCUCGAAGAAAACAAAAGAAACAGCAGAUGUUGGACUUCACACAGAGACCAAGGGAGGUUUCCUUCCCAGAGCCCGGUACCAACGCGUGCCCCCUGAAAACCGUGUAGUUUGUUUUAAACCGUGGGCAACGUCGAACCGAGCGCCACAGUGCCAGCGUUUCUGGAGGCGGAUGACUAUUCGGCAGGAAUCGACUCACGAGCCACGCAGUGAGCAAAAAACGAGUUCUGGAAAGAAUCUGAAGCUUGGACAGUUUCCAGUGUCCUGUAAUCGGAAACAGGAGCCAGAGGGAAGACUACAGAAGUCCACGUUGGCCCCAUAGAACGCGCAUCCCUGAUGCAGAUGUGCCCCUGAGUCAAAAGGCAUUGGGUUCGUCCUGCAAAGAGACCCGCGCCAAACGAAAGCGGUGUGCUGCCUGACAGUGUCCUGGAAUUCCCCAAUUCCCCAGGGGGAGCCAGAGGCCACAGACACCAUCUCCCAUCCCUCUGUGACUGAUGGCCCACAGCGCGAGAUCCCCUGAACAAGCAGAAAAAGUGAGCAGCUGGGCGCACCCCAUCCUGUUCAAGAAAGAAUGAAGAACCAAUUAACUAUAAAGGCCGCGCCGGUGUAGCCCCCCCCUCCCACGCACGCACUCUUCCCCCAACCCUGGGCCUUCUACACAUUCAUACAAACCCCAGAACUAGCCCCACACCAAGGGUGGAAUCUUGCCACCGGUCCACCCCAGGAAGAAAUAACUCUUUAAGAACAGUCUCGCUUUUAAAGAAUUGUUCAGUGUUGCAAGCCAAAGCCGCGCCUUUCUCACAGACCUCGGGAAAUAUUUCAGGUCUGGAGACCAGUCCGUGGCUCAUUUUACAGUCACUUCGAAAUUACAGAUCACUCUCCUGUUUCAUUUUUCUUUGGGAAAACAACACCGCCGAGCAAGGAUGAGGAAGACGAAGUUACCCUCGUCAUCUUUAAACCGGCCCAGAAAGAUCGGGACUCAAAUUCUAGGUGACUGAGUGUGUGUGAAGGCUGCAGGUCUCCAAACGAGAGUAACCGUCUUCCUUCUUAAUAUUUUCAUAGCAGCCGUAAAAUGCCCUCUAUAACAGUCGUCUUACUUUUUUAUUCUCUAAAUUUCCGUUACUGCGCGUGUCUGAUAUUUAAAAAUGCAAAAUUUAUUUAGAACGAAACCCGAAAAGUCUUGUGUAAAUUUUUUUUUUGCUAAGUUUGUGAACGAUGAAUGAGGAGGACGCUCUUCAAUUCGGAGUCCCAGUCUUGGCAAGGUCGCCAGCGGGUCUGGGAGCCUAGAUCUGUCAUCCCGAAAUAGACUUGCUGAUAUCCCCCCCCUCCUUCCACAGACCCCCUUCUUCCGGCUUCCCUAAGGACUCCUUCACCCUUCCUUAGAGAAGGGUGGCCUUCGGGAAAGCGGAGGAGGAGCUGCAGACACCUGCUGGGUGCCCAGGAGUUCCCAGUAAGCACAGUCAGCUGAGACAACAGGCUCAGACUGCUGACUGUAAGGCCUGCCACCUCUUAGAUACUUUUGGUGACCUGGUACCCCAAUUCAUUCACGCAUGGUUAUCUCCUUUCUUCCCAUUUAUAUGGUUGAAGUCGCCCAGGGGUAGUAUUAUAACCAAAGACAGAACACCAUUAAUUCCGUAUGGUGAUAUUAAAUAUAUUUAUUCAAUUUA
Long non-coding RNA from Alexandromys fortis (reed vole), 2903 nucleotides. RefSeq lists it as uncharacterized. The transcript has 2 exons. NCBI's taxonomy places the organism in Eukaryota, Metazoa, Chordata, Mammalia, Rodentia, Cricetidae. The record is from RefSeq and is a predicted model, not a curated record.